AUAACUAUUGGAAACGAUAGCUAAUACCGCAUAACAGUAGAUAUCGCAUGAUAGCUGCUUGAAAAGGUGCAAUUGCACCACUACCAGAUGGACCUGCGUUGUAUUAGCUAGUUGGUGAGGUAACGGCUCACCAAGGCCACGAUACAUAGCCGACCUGAGAGGGUGAUCGGCCACACUGGGACUGAGACACGGCCCAGACUCCUACGGGAGGCAGCAUG
RNAcentral lists this ribosomal RNA (218 nucleotides) under uncultured bacterium. Its description in RNAcentral is "partial 16S ribosomal RNA". It matches the Rfam family "Bacterial small subunit ribosomal RNA", at positions 143 to 353 of the family's 1533-position model. The record is from RNAcentral.